UACCAGACUCCUACGGGAGGCAGCAGCGGGGAAUAUUGGGCAAUGGGCGCAAGCCUGACCCAGCAACGCCGCGUGAAGGAAGAAGGCUUUCGGGUUGUAAACUUCUUUUGACAGGGAAGAGCAGAAGACGGUACCUGUCGAAUAAGCCACGGCUAACUACGUGCCAGCAGCCGCGGUAAUACGUAGGGAGCGAGCGUUAUCCGGAUUUAUUGGGUGUAAAGGGUGCGUAGACGGGAAUUUAAGUUAGUUGUGAAAUCCCUCGGCUCAACUGAGGAACUGCAACUAAAACUGGAUUUCUUGAGUGCUGGAGAGGAAAGCGGAAUUCCUAGUGUAGCGGUGAAAUGCGUAGAUAUUAGGAGGAACACCAGUGGCGAAGGCGGCUUUCUGGACAGUAACUGACGUUGAGGCACGAAAGUGUGGGGAGCAAACAGGAUUAGAUACCCUCGUA
RNAcentral lists this ribosomal RNA (448 nucleotides) under uncultured bacterium. Its description in RNAcentral is "bacterial SSU rRNA". It matches the Rfam family "Bacterial small subunit ribosomal RNA", at positions 329 to 792 of the family's 1533-position model. The record is from RNAcentral.